Bombina bombina (fire-bellied toad) is the source of this 981-nucleotide long non-coding RNA. RefSeq lists it as uncharacterized. The record is from RefSeq and is a predicted model, not a curated record. The transcript has 9 exons. NCBI's taxonomy places the organism in Eukaryota, Metazoa, Chordata, Amphibia, Anura, Bombinatoridae.
GUGCAUUUGAAUCUUGCUGACUUCCUGUAUACAAGCUUCUGGAAGGUUGAAAUUGCGUCAAAUUUUUUUGAGAUGUUUGUGCUGUGUUUAGCAGCUGGCUUAUUUGGAAUAUCUGUCCAGCUCAAAAAUGGCUCCAGCGGUUAGAAACAGGUGAUGGCAUGGCAGAAUGGCUUUAUGGAAACUUCAAGCAUGUGACAGCUUAAUUUUCUUCCACAAGGCUGUGAGACCAGUUUGCAGGUGAUGCUAAAGUUAUCAGAUCGACAGCACCAGUUGACAUACAGCCAACACUUAGUGUCUAGUUCAUUGUCAAAAGAAAUGUUUGUGCCUCUUUUGUUACAACAGCUGGCUUAUUUGGAAUAUCUGUCCAGCUCAAAAAUGGCUCCAGCGGUUAGAAACAGGUGAUGGCAUGGCAGAAUGGCUUUAUGGAAACUUCAAGCAUGUGACAGCUUAAUUUUCUUCCACAAGGCUGUGAGACCAGUUUGCAGCCUUAGGUCAUGCUCCCCAUUAUAUGUCCCAUGCAAGCCCAACCCAGAAAAUGCACAGCUAACAUUCACGGUGAUGCUAAAGUUAUCAGAUCUACAGCACGAGGUGACAUACAGCCAACACUAAGUGUCUAGUUCAUUGUCAAAAGAAAUGUCUGUGCCUCCUUUGUUAAAACAGAUGUAGCAAUGUGAAGCGAGAGGUCUUCACCUCAACUGCGUCUGCUGACAUCCAGGCUGCAAGUUGAUUUUGUUUUAUAUACAGAUCUUCAAGCACUGGACAAAAUGUCUACAUGAAACAUUUCUCCGUUACAUCAGCCCAGGUGUUUUAACAGCUGGAGUACGUGUGUGUUUUGCGUAACUGCUGCUCUCACAAGUCGUGUACCCAUGGAAAGGGAUUGUCCUUGGCGUUCCUGUUUGAACUAUAAACCUAGCUAUUUAAUAAAAUGCUAAUAAAGUGUUUCUGAUAUCUAUUCUAUUAAUAAAGCUGUGACUUAUCUUA